Molecule: unclassified non-coding RNA, 327 nt
Filed under: soil metagenome
Description: partial contains 5.8S ribosomal RNA, internal transcribed spacer 2, and large subunit ribosomal RNA
Rfam family: 5.8S ribosomal RNA (bases 1-120)
Source: RNAcentral
GAUGAAGAACGUAGCGAAAUGCGAUAAGUAAUGUGAAUUGCAGAAUUCAGUGAAUCAUCGAAUCUUUGAACGCACAUUGCGCCCCUUGGUAUUCCGAGGGGCAUGCCUGUUCGAGCGUCAUUAUAACCCCUCAAGCUCGGCUUGGUGUUGGGGCCUGCCGCACGGGCAGCCCUUAAAAUCAGUGGCGGUGCCAUCUGGCUCUAAGCGUAGUAAUUCUUCUCGCUAUAGAGUCCCGGUGGAUGCUUGCCAUUAACCCCCAAUUUUAAUGGUUGACCUCGGAUCAGGUAGGGAUACCCGCUGAACUUAAGCAUAUCAAUAAGCGGAGGA